AUUGAACGCUGGCGGCAUGCCUUACACAUGCAAGUCGAACGGCAGCGCGGGUGCUUGCCCCUGGUGGCGAGUGGCGAACGGGUGAGUAAUACAUCGGAACAUGUCCUGUAGUGGGGGAUAGCCCGGCGAAAGCCGGAUUAAUACCGCAUACGAUCCACGGAUGAAAGCGGGGGACCUUCGGGCCUCGCGCUAUAGGGUUGGCCGAUGGCUGAUUAGCUAGUUGGUGGGGUAAAGGCCUACCAAGGCGACGAUCAGUAGCUGGUCUGAGAGGACGACCAGCCACACUGGGACUGAGACACGGCCCAGACUCCUACGGGAGGCAGCAGUGGGGAAUUUUGGACAAUGGGCGAAAGCCUGAUCCAGCAAUGCCGCGUGUGUGAAGAAGGCCUUCGGGUUGUAAAGCACUUUUGUCCGGAAAGAAAUCCUUGACUCUAAUACAGUCGGGGGAUGACGGUACCGGAAGAAUAAGCACCGGCUAACUACGUG
This 486-nucleotide ribosomal RNA is filed under the name uncultured bacterium. RNAcentral's name for it is "partial 16S ribosomal RNA". It matches the Rfam family "Bacterial small subunit ribosomal RNA", at positions 30 to 507 of the family's 1533-position model. The record is from RNAcentral.